GCUUAACAUUAUUCACACAGGUUACUGAAGAUGUGUUAAUCUUUUUUCAGUCUUUUACUAUCUGUUCUUUAGCUUGUAUACUUUUUAUUGCUCUGUCUUCAAGUUAACUAAUUCUUUCUGUGCUGUGUCUCAUUUGUUAAUAAUUCAUCCAGUGACUUUUAAGUUUCUGGUAUAGUUUUUAAGUGUUAGAAUUUCUAUAUUUUAAGGGUCUCAAUUUCUCUUCUGAGAUUUCCCAUUCAUCCUUUUGUUUUAAUUAUGACUACCCCCCACUUUAAAGUUAUUCAAUGUAUUUUGUCAUUUUUUCUGCUAAAUUAAAAAAAAAAAAACUAAGUAAUCCCAGGGUCUAUUUCAAUAGAUUUUUUUUCCUCUUGACUAUGCAUCCCAGUUUUCUGGGUUUUAAAUAUGUGUCUUAUAAUUUUAAUGAACACAGUAGAUGAUACUUUACAGAGAUAAUAUGUUCUGUUAUGCUCCUCUGUAGAAUUAUUUUUGUUAUAGAAGGUUGAUUAUCUUGAACUUGUGGUAUUCUUAUCUUACUUUUAUAAGAAUGUCUUGUUUUGUUCGCAGAAAAAUCUCUCAGUUCUGGAUCAUAGCAUUUACUUCUGAGGUAUGGCUGUUUUUGAGUUUCAGUGGAAGACUCUGACGUUUCAAAUACCAAGGCUCUUUACGUUGUUGGGACCCAAUUUGUUCUCCUCUACGGGAAGCAGAAGAGUCAGUGUUACUGAGAUAAGAUGUGAGAGAGAUUCAGUCGUUACUGGAUUUGAAGAUGGAAGGAGGAAAUAAGUCAAAAGAAUGGGAACAUUAUCUAGAAGCUGAUACGGCAAGAAAAUUGAUUCUUUUUUAUGGCCUGCAGAAAAUAACACUAUCUUGGUGACACCUUGAUUUUAGCCCAGUGAGACCUGUUUUGCCUUGACUUCCAUGAUUGUCGGAAAGAAGCCAGCUACAUUGUCAUGAAGACACUCAAGCUGACCUAUGAAGAGGUCCAUGUGUUAAGAAACUGCGGCCUGCCACCAACAGCCAUGUGAGUGAGCCAUCAUGGAAAUGGAUUUUACAGCUCAAUUCAAGCUUUCAGAUGGUGGCAACCUGGGCUGACAUCUUGAGCACAGCCUCUUGAAAAAUCUCUGAGCCAAAACCAACCAUUUAAGCAGCUCCUGAAUUUCAGACCCACAGAUAUGCUGACAUAAAUGUUUAUUGUAUUAACCCAUGAUUUUUCUUUUUAAUCACACAGUACUAGCCUAUUUUGGCAAAUCUUUUUCAAGAGACUCUUCAUUUUUUUCUUUUCUUUUUUUUAUUUUUUUGAGACAGAGUCUCGCUCUGUUGCCCAGGCUGGAGUGCCGUGGCUUAAUCUCAGCUCACUGCAACCUCCACCUCCCAGAUUCAAGCAAUUCUCCUGUCUCAGCCUCCUGAGUAGCUGGGAUUACAGGCGUGCACCACCAUACCCAGCUAAUUUUUGUAUUUUGUAUUUUUAGUAGAGACAGGGUUUUACCAUGUUGGUCAGGCUGGUCUCAAACUCCUGGCCUCAUGAUCCACCCACGUCAGCCUCCCAAAGUGCUGGGAUUACAGGUGUGAGCCACUGUGCCCUGCCUUUUUUUCUUUUAAUUGUCAUUUUAUAGCUCUCCACCGCAGCUUCCCCACACCCUUCCCUUCCAUGAUGAUGUUUACAGGCUUUGGGGGGACCACGGAACAAAGCUGGGGCCUGGCAGCCCCACUAGGUUGCCAGCUGGGGAGAACAAGGCACAAUUACAAAUUAUCACAACAAUUAGCACCUGUACUUGGGGGAUCUGCAAAUUGAGGAGGCCCCAGCUCCUCAUGGUACAGGGGUCUAUCUGGCAGUGAACUUACUCUGGAGACAAUGGUAUUCCUUCAGUCUGAGGGAGUUGAUGUUGAUGAACCCGGUGUCAUCAAUCGGC
RNAcentral lists this long non-coding RNA (1907 nucleotides) under Homo sapiens (human). Its description in RNAcentral is "HSALNT0095765". The record is from RNAcentral. Lineage: Eukaryota; Metazoa; Chordata; Mammalia; Primates; Hominidae.